AAAGAUAGAGCUUUGAUUAAAAGCGAUUCAUUUACGCUGAGUAGAAACUGUUAUAGUUGUCUUUA
RNAcentral lists this transfer RNA (65 nucleotides) under Eremobates cf. palpisetulosus SEM-2008. RNAcentral's name for it is "tRNA-Val". The record is from RNAcentral. Lineage: Eukaryota; Metazoa; Arthropoda; Arachnida; Solifugae; Eremobatidae.